UACAACCUGAAGGAUGCGAAAUCGGAUAACGCAGUGUGGUAUACACACAGAAAAAAAGAUUACCUAUGCGCACCACAAAGCUUUGCACGUAUAAUCGUAUGAACAGUUGAGCUUAUAAAAGAAGAAUGCUGACACAGGAGAUGGAUGAGAUACAGUGAACGGACAAAACACAGAUGUCAGAUAGUUGGAGAUGAACGUCAAUAUAACGAACAUUAUGUUACAUACCAGAGAUGGGCAGUUCAAAGUAACUGAAGGGCCAAUUUAUAGAGCUUUAAAAUUUGGAAGGUCAGAACA
Molecule: long non-coding RNA, 294 nt
Filed under: Sipha flava (yellow sugarcane aphid)
Lineage: Eukaryota; Metazoa; Arthropoda; Insecta; Hemiptera; Aphididae
Description: uncharacterized LOC112690347, transcript variant X2
Source: RNAcentral